RNAcentral lists this ribosomal RNA (1197 nucleotides) under Escherichia coli. RNAcentral describes it as "partial 23S ribosomal RNA". It matches the Rfam family "Bacterial large subunit ribosomal RNA", at positions 1 to 1239 of the family's 2925-position model. Lineage: Bacteria; Pseudomonadati; Pseudomonadota; Gammaproteobacteria; Enterobacterales; Enterobacteriaceae. RNAcentral also lists the same sequence under 1 other name. The record is from RNAcentral.
GGUUAAGCGACUAAGCGUACACGGUGGAUGCCCUGGCAGUCAGAGGCGAUGAAGGACGUGCUAAUCUGCGAUAAGCGUCGGUAAGGUGAUAUGAACCGUUAUAACCGGCGAUUUCCGAAUGGGGAAACCCAGUGUGUUUCGACACACUAUCAUUAACUGAAUCCAUAGGUUAAUGAGGCGAACCGGGGGAACUGAAACAUCUAAGUACCCCGAGGAAAAGAAAUCAACCGAGAUUCCCCCAGUAGCGGCGAGCGAACGGGGAGCAGCCCAGAGCCUGAAUCAGUGUGUGUGUUAGUGGAAGCGUCUGGAAAGGCGCGCGAUACAGGGUGACAGCCCCGUACACAAAAAUGCACAUACUGUGAGCUCGAUGAGUAGGGCGGGACACGUGGUAUCCUGUCUGAAUAUGGGGGGACCAUCCUCCAAGGCUAAAUACUCCUGACUGACCGAUAGUGAACCAGUACCGUGAGGGAAAGGCGAAAAGAACCCCGGCGAGGGGAGUGAAAAAGAACCUGAAACCGUGUACGUACAAGCAGUGGGAGCCUCUUUUAUGGGGUGACUGCGUACCUUUUGUAUAAUGGGUCAGCGACUUAUAUUCUGUAGCAAGGUUAACCGAAUAGGGGAGCCGAAGGGAAACCGAGUCUUAACCGGGCGUUAAGUUGCAGGGUAUAGACCCGAAACCCGGUGAUCUAGCCAUGGGCAGGUUGAAGGUUGGGUAACACUAACUGGAGGACCGAACCGACUAAUGUUGAAAAAUUAGCGGAUGACUUGUGGCUGGGGGUGAAAGGCCAAUCAAACCGGGAGAUAGCUGGUUCUCCCCGAAAGCUAUUUAGGUAGCGCCUCGUGAAUUCAUCUCCGGGGGUAGAGCACUGUUUCGGCAAGGGGGUCAUCCCGACUUACCAACCCGAUGCAAACUGCGAAUACCGGAGAAUGUUAUCACGGGAGACACACGGCGGGUGCUAACGUCCGUCGUGAAGAGGGAAACAACCCAGACCGCCAGCUAAGGUCCCAAAGUCAUGGUUAAGUGGGAAACGAUGUGGGAAGGCCCAGACAGCCAGGAUGUUGGCUUAGAAGCAGCCAUCAUUUAAAGAAAGCGUAAUAGCUCACUGGUCGAGUCGGCCUGCGCGGAAGAUGUAACGGGGCUAAACCAUGCACCGAAGCUGCGGCAGCGACACUGUGUGUUGUUGGGUAGGGGAGCGU